GGGCCGGUGGUCUAGUUUGGUUAUGAUGCUGCCUCGACAUGGCAGCGAUCGAGAGUUCAAAUCUCUCCCGGCCCAC
RNAcentral lists this transfer RNA (76 nucleotides) under Candidatus Nitrosomarinus catalinensis. RNAcentral's name for it is "Candidatus Nitrosomarinus catalina tRNA-Val". It matches the Rfam family "tRNA". From Rfam's summary of the family: Transfer RNA (tRNA) molecules are approximately 80 nucleotides in length. The record is from RNAcentral. Lineage: Archaea; Thermoproteati; Nitrososphaerota; Nitrososphaeria; Nitrosopumilales; Nitrosopumilaceae.